UACGAAGGGGGCUAGCGUUGCUCGGAAUCACUGGGCGUAAAGCGCACGUAGGCGGGUUGCCAAGUCGGGGGUGAAAUCCUGGAGCUCAACUCCAGAACUGCCUUCGAUACUGGCGAUCUUGGAGUCCGGGAGAGGUGAGUGGAACUGCGAGUGUAGAGGUGAAAUUCGUAGAUAUUGGGAGGAACACCAGUGGCGAAGGCGGCUCACUGGACCGGUACUGACGCUGAGGCGCGAAAGCGUGGGGAGCAAACAGG
Molecule: ribosomal RNA, 254 nt
Filed under: uncultured bacterium
Lineage: Bacteria
Description: partial 16S ribosomal RNA
Rfam family: Bacterial small subunit ribosomal RNA
Source: RNAcentral